This 225-nucleotide long non-coding RNA is filed under the name Coffea arabica (coffee). RNAcentral describes it as "long non-coding RNA (CARA_LNC006387)". The record is from RNAcentral. Lineage: Eukaryota; Viridiplantae; Streptophyta; Magnoliopsida; Gentianales; Rubiaceae.
UUUCUUAGAGAGCCAAGACAGAGAUUUUCGGUCACUUUGAGCUGGAUAAAAACCGUGUGAGUUAGCUCUAUUCCUAGCUUAUCUUGAUCACCAAAUGAUUUGAGGGUUGCAUGUGAAAUUUGGAGGAAAUUGAGCAAGGAAUUGAGGAGAGAGGGUGGAGGAAUUUUCUGGUUUAGCUCUCCCUUGGCUGCUCGGCUGUUUGUGCGUAGGAGAGGAAUGAAAUGC